CGCAGCUUUGUCAAAUUCAGUGUGUUCUCCUCAGUGGACGGCACUGGCCAAAAUAGCUGCCACAGAAACUGUAGCUCACAAGCCCCUCCUCCUAAUUUAGUGGGCUGUGGGGACGAUGAUGUUCUACAGACAUAC
Molecule: non-coding RNA, 135 nt
Organism: Xyrichtys novacula (pearly razorfish)
Lineage: Eukaryota; Metazoa; Chordata; Actinopteri; Labriformes; Labridae
Source: the annotation of a GenBank genome assembly